Paramormyrops kingsleyae is the source of this 4888-nucleotide non-coding RNA. The record is from RefSeq and is a predicted model, not a curated record. Lineage: Eukaryota; Metazoa; Chordata; Actinopteri; Osteoglossiformes; Mormyridae.
UGACACCAUGUCUGACUCAGUUAGACCUACUGCUUCCUGCAAAUGCUUAGCUUCGAUCUCAGCAACCUGAUGUGGCAUGUCGGGGUUUAACAGGCGGACUACACAGUAAGCAAAGCAUAGAUUAUUGCCAGAGUUUUCAGAAACGAUAAGACAUCUGAGCUUCUUUUGCAGAAUGUCAGACUUUAAAAGCUUUGUUAAUUUCUGUCAUUCGGCUGCCCCACCAUUUCGAUUAUGUACAAUUUGUACAACCAAUUCCAGCGUAUCAUCGCUGAAAACCUCGGCAUUGCUCUGUGAAAAGUUGUCUACCAUCGAUAGCAGAUCAUUUAGAUCGAUCUCGCCUCGAACAUGUAUAGCUGUGUUAUUGGUUACUGACGCCCCCUGCAGUUCCACCCCAGCCCCCGCUAAAGCUUUCACUCUGUCGACCAAAUUCUGGAAUGUCUGUAUCACAGCCCUGUAAACGUCUACUAUAUCAUCAUGCUGGAUUCUAUCAAAAUGAAAACGCUGCCUUAUUUCAGUGUUGUUAAACUGUGGUCUGCGUAUCACAUUAACAUUUGCAUCACCAUUAGCUACACCCCCACCUUGUUCUUGUACCCCAUUAUCAACAUCCAUAAUUUCUGGCUCCCCCGCCGCAGCUGCACCCACACCCCCGCCUUGUGGCGCCCCAUUAUCAACGUCUAUAAUUUCUGGUUCCACCUCUGCUGCCCCAUCAUCAUUUAAAUCAUUUAAUAAAUUUUGUAAGAUGGAGUUAAAUUCACCCGGGUUCUCGCCAUUCAACUCUGUUAGCAUUUGAUGCAGUUGAGAGUGCAUGGCCACACCGUCAUCUACAUCAGGCAUUUCAAUAUCUGUGUCCAGUCCGUUGUCGCACCUAACACCAGGCUCGGUCGCGUGCCCGUCCGCCAUUUCCACACCCUCCCGAAACCGUACAUCAAACAAAGAAUAUUGAUUGGUAAACCAGAUGACAAGUAUACCCCACCAAGCUGGGGGCUUAUUAAGGGGGCGAGCGCUAGGUCCACAUUAUCACUCACGUCAAGGAGCGAAAGAAGCGGACACUUCAUUUUCUGAUCUACGACAUAUCAACAUUGGAAAAUGGAACUCUCGAGGUAAGCUACAUUUUCAUUUAAAUGUAUUUUACAAUUGCUGUUAUAGAUUUUUUCUGCUGUGAAAAUAUAUUAUUGUUAUUUUGACCAAGAAUUUUCCAUGCUGUCAAGAUCCUGGCAACACUGUGAUACAGAGGAUUGGAAUAGCGUUGCAGCUAACGACGACGACACUGAACUGCGUGAACUGCUAUGCAUGCCAACGGUUAUUUUCAGAGAUAAUCGUGAAGGGCCCGGACCCCGGCAAGUUAGCCAUAAACGGAAAAGAGCGGAUAGUUUUAACGACACAGCUGAUGAUGAAUUGCUGGUCGCUGCGGCCGAAAAAAUUGAAGCAGAGCUACAGUAGCAACAGAAAGCGUGCAGGACCAGCCGACUGGACAACUGGAAUUUGAACCGUUGGACCAAGGAGGAUCUGCGUGCGGUGUUCCAGCGCUGUGGUCGCAAGAUACCGCCCCCUUAACAGCUUGGCAGCGGCCUGCUUUGAUUUCCCGGCCUGUAGAUGAUUCCCGAGAGGAGCGUUUGAAGGCGCUCAAACUAGCAUUCUUCCUUUUUCAGGAUCAGAUGUGUGAUUUUUUGGCGGAUCUGUCUGACCAGAUCUAAAGAAUAAUCAGGGGACAUGUCUGAACAGUUUUGAUGGGGCUGGGGGGUCUAGAAGGAUACAUGUAAAUGACGAUGACGAAGCAACGAUUAACCCUGAUCUGCAACAGCUGAUUGAUGAAAUGAAUGACGGACCGCAGGGUGAGGUUAACCCCCUUUUGCUUGCCAUGAUAAAUGAAUUAAACUCACCAAAUGACCAUGUGCCUAUAAAACAUCGGCGCUGGUUUAUGACAUUACAACAAAUGGAUAAUUGUCUUGUGAGCCGGUCUAUCCCGAGCCAGGCGUCAACAGGUGCGUGGCCCCCCGCUGUUUCACUGACCCUGCUGUGAACCCCUUUAGCAAAAAAGGAACAGUAGACAGCCCCACCUAGCGGUAUGUGCUGAGGCCGUACCACACCCAUGCUUCUAAAUUUAUGUUAAAAACACAUAGAUUCAUUCCCUAAAACUUAUCAUCUAGGCUGUUCACAUACAUUCUAUUAAACAUUGCAUUAAAACAGCACGUUCAUGUUAAAGAGAAUUAUUUCUAGUUUAAAACUAGUGGCAGGCCGUCUUUUAACCACCACCGCUUCUGGGGUAAUGUCGUACGCUAAUUUUAACAAGGAUUACCAGCGUUAUUGGUUGAUUCUUUUGUCAAAAUGUUUAUGGCGCUUUUACUUUAUUAUUCACAUUGGUUGAAAAGUGCUUCAUUACUUUAAAAAACGUCACGUUUAAGGGGACUUAUUUGAAAUAGCGUUCACUCCGUUUGUUGUUACCAUUUUGAAAUGGUUGUCUUAUGAAUCAUUAUUCUUUGUUUGAUGCAUGGUUUCGUGUAAAGAUCCGCGACUGUUUAUGACUACACCAUAUGUCUAAUAGCCUGGGAGCGGAUGAUUCUACCCCAUGUUUAAUGGCUUGUGAACAGAUGAUCAGUCUAUCUCAAAGCCAAUGCAAGGCGGGCAUUGAUUACAAAUCGACUUUUAUUUAUUUAAUUUAGAAAUAUAUUAUUUAUACUAUUUACAAAUAAGUCAGAUUAACAAAUAGAGUUAAUGCGCAUUCUUUCAGGAUGGUGGCGUGCUCACACAAUUAAGGGCCAUGGGCUUGCACUACACUAACAGGAAGACUAUUCCAAACUCUAACUACACACUGUGUAAAGAAGUGCUUUCUCAAAUCCAGUUUAAAAUGCUCUCCCACUAAUUUCCACCUAUGGCCACAAGUUAUAGCAUUUAACUAAUAUUGAAGUAGCCUUUUGGCUGGACAACAUCCAGACCUGUUAGAAUCUUAUAUACCUGGCUCAUGUCCCCCCUUAUUCUCCUUUGACACCUUCAAGCUGAGAAGCGCAUGUCUUUAGUGUCCAUCCAGGCACUCCGUCUGGGCCAGCAGCUUUGCUAGUGUAACAGACUGUUCAUGUUGGAUAGGUGUCUUACUGUGAAGGCAUGUUGUUAUGGGAUAGAGAAAGUGUAAGGAGAGGUUCCAGACUGAAAGCAGAUCUAGACAGAUGGACACCCCUAACCUUUAGUUUGUAUGACCGGAUAGAAAUUAUAAAGAUGAAUGUUUUACCGCGAUUAUUGUUUCUCUUUCAAUCAUUACCUGUAGAAAUACCAAAAAAACAAUUUAAUGACUGGAAUGAAAUGAUCUCGAGAUUUAUAUGGAAAAAUCAGAAACCUAGAGUAAGAUUUAAAACGCUGCAAUUACCAAAGGAAAAGGGAGGACUGUCUCUUCCCUGUUUGGAAGAUUAUUAUAAAGCAGCACAAUUAAAAUAUUUAGUUUGUUGGUGUAUUAGCGGUUAAGAUGCAAAAUGGAAAGAAUUAGAAUUUCACCAGCUAGACAUUCCUCUCCCUUCCUUAUUGGGGGACAAAAAUACUAAGAUUAUGUAUUCCAAUAAAUGAAGUAACUGGACAUUGGUCCCUCUUAACAUUUGGUUUAAAGAAUGUAAAACUCUUAAGCUGGAGAGCAUGUCUGCUAAGAUGGGUGGCAUACGAUAGAGACUUUAAACCUGCACAGACGGAUGUGCGGUUUAAACAAUGGAUAGGGAACGGUAUUACAGCAUAUUGUACAGUUUCUUCUGAGAUUGGUUUAGAAAGCUUCCAACAUCUCUCUGAUAUUUAUAAUUUAUGUGAGACAAGAUUUUUAUAGAUAUUUACAGCUUAGGAAUCACUUUAAUAAAAAUAUUAAAAGUAAGGAAGGAAUUGAAUUGAGUCUCAUUAAAGUUUUUGCUGAGGCAUAUAAAGGCGGUACUCACAAGAAAUUGGUAUCAAGAAUAUAUUCAAAUAUACAAUCCUCUAAGUCUCACUCUACCUUAUACGUUAAAGAAAAAUGGGAGAAGGAAGUGGACAUAAUUCUAAUGGAAGAAGACUGGCUAAACAUGUGUAAAUCACAGCAUGCUACCUCUAGCUCUGGUCGGUGGAGAGAAUUCUCAUGGAAAAACAUGAUUAGAUUUUUUAUUACUCCAAAAAGAAAACAUUUACAGAAUGGUAACCCAGAAACUGCUUUUUGCUGGAGACAAUGUAACAACACAAUGGCUGAUUAUUUUCAUAUAUUUUGGAGCUGUCCAGCAAUUCAAUCCUACUGGUUAAUGGUAAUCACUGAAAUUGAAUCAAUACUGGGUUUUGAGAUUGAUCAUAGCUUUGGUACCAUAUAUUUAGGAAACAUACCAACUGAAUUUCAUUCUCAAGACAAGUACCUCCUCAGAUUGUUAUUGGUCGCUAGUAAGAAAGCUAUAACUAAGAAAUGGCUGAACGAGAACCCACCAACAAAAGAAGAGUGGAUAGCGAUUGUAAAGGAUAUGUUUGAUAUGGAGAAAAUUACCUUUUCGUUAAGACUAAAUAUGGGUAAAUUUUAUAUGAACUGGUCAAAAUGGUUAAUACACCUAAAAAUAGAUCAUACAUAGAAAUGCUUUGUAGUGAAUAUGCUGUGGACUUUGACUGCAUACCUCUUUCCUUUUAUGUGUGUAGGGAGGGGGGCUAUUGGGAGAGUAACCCACUACUAUGAAAAUGACUAUAUUCUGUAGGAAGGAUACAAGAAUGGGAUGUCUCUGGUGACCUGUCGGUUCCUUUUUUUUUUGUUUUCUUUUUCCACUCUUUGUUUGUUUGUUGUAUUUCUAAGUUACAUUAAAAGAAAUAAAAUAAAAGUUUUUUUUAAAAAAAGGAGAGGUUCCAGGUUAUGACGAGGGAGAGACGGAGUUUGUAUGGCAAUAAAAAGACCGCGACUUGAGUUGAACAUUAA